AACUUUCAGCAACGGAUCUCUUGGCUCUCGCAUCGAUGAAGAACGCAGCGAAAUGCGAUAAGUAAUGUGAAUUGCAGAAUUCAGUGAAUCAUCGAAUCUUUGAACGCACCUUGCGCUCCUUGGUAUUCCGAGGAGCAUGCCUGUUUGAGUGUCAUGNAAUU
RNAcentral lists this ribosomal RNA (161 nucleotides) under Trametes sanguinea. Its description in RNAcentral is "5.8S ribosomal RNA". It matches the Rfam family "5.8S ribosomal RNA". From Rfam's summary of the family: 5.8S ribosomal RNA (5.8S rRNA) is a component of the large subunit of the eukaryotic ribosome. It is transcribed by RNA polymerase I as part of the 45S precursor that also contains 18S and 28S rRNA. Lineage: Eukaryota; Fungi; Basidiomycota; Agaricomycetes; Polyporales; Polyporaceae. The record is from RNAcentral.